Molecule: long non-coding RNA, 1066 nt
Filed under: Chinchilla lanigera (long-tailed chinchilla)
Lineage: Eukaryota; Metazoa; Chordata; Mammalia; Rodentia; Chinchillidae
Description: lncRNA (ENSCLAG00000024490.1)
Source: RNAcentral
AUGGCAGCGCCCGGCGCGCCAGCGUCAGCGCUCCCACCUCCUACCAUCUUCCCGGCCGCCCGCCCGCGCCAUCCCCUCGGCUCGGGUCCCAGCCGCGGUCUCGCCCUCCGCCGUCCAUUACCUGGUUCAUCUCUGAAGAGAUGGAAAACCUCAUCUCUAGAGCUUCGAUGGGGAGCAGCAGGAAGCGGGCGGGAAUCAGCCCAAAGAAAAGCGCCUCGAGGCGGCGGAGGGGGGCAGCGACGCAGCAGGGAGGACGAGCGGCCCGUCCGCGGAGGCUGCGGCGCCGCCGAGCACUGGCGCGAGCUCUCCCUCGAUCGCACAGGCGCGCCGAAGCAGCCGGCCGAUAAAGGCGCCCGCCACCCGCCGACCGACCGACCUCCGCGCGCGUCCCGGAGACACUGCCGCCUCCCGCGCUCCCGCACCGCCGCGCACGUCACCACGUGCGGCGCCGCCGCCAACGCCUCCCGGCCGCUUCCGGCCCUGAUCCCUCCGCGAAUCACGGGCGAGCUCCAGAAAGAUCCAGCGCGAGGCCCCGCCCCCGCAGGCCCCGCGCCCGCCCGCCCGCCCUUCUCGUUCGCGGGCUGGAGCUCCUUCCUUCACAGCUCAACUAGCAAGGAUUUGACCGACUUUUUCUGCUAAGGACCAAGCCGUCCUUAUGCCGCAGUAUCCAGAGUACUGGAUCUACAGUGAAAACUGACUGAACCCAGAAGAGGAAUAAACAUCCCUUUGGAGACUUACUCCUUAGAGAACAGUGAGAGGUGGCCUCUCAAAGAUCAUGCAGCAAUAAAUAUCCUGUUGGAAAAAGUGACGAAAGAGAAAGAAAGAACAUCAGUGCUUCUUUUGCCAUUUGUACCAAAUACAGGGAAUUCCAGGUACCAAACAGAAAGCGUUUCGCAUGUAGCGUAUCUGGUGCUGGUCUUUUGUACAUAAUGUAUUCUUUUCAAUAGAGGUGAUUUAUUCAGUAAUUCAUUAUUUUUUACCAUUGUACUUUUUAAAGAUAUUUUCCAUGAUACGUACACCCACAGGCCUGAAAAAAAGUGUUGGUUGUGAAAAUCUGAGAUUGGUU